Humulus lupulus (European hop) is the source of this 591-nucleotide long non-coding RNA. RefSeq lists it as uncharacterized. Lineage: Eukaryota; Viridiplantae; Streptophyta; Magnoliopsida; Rosales; Cannabaceae. The record is from RefSeq and is a predicted model, not a curated record. The transcript has 3 exons.
AAAACAUAGAGAAAAUAAAACCAAAAACCAUUUCUUGGCUGGCUUGAAGAGAUUCUAAGGAGAUCCAAGUGAAAUCAAAGCCAAAAAAAGUGGAUUAAGCUUAGUUCUGGCCUUUUUAUGGAUAAGCACAUCAACAUCUCAGACACCACUUGUUACACGGUGAAAUAUAUUUUGGACAGAAGUGUAUGGCCGCCUAAACUCUUGAGCACGACGGGGCAGCGAUGGAGUAAUGUUUUUAAUGCGCCCUACUGUGGUGAUGGCUAGCCGGAGGAUAACCCAUGAGAUUUUAUAUUAUAUGUGUAACAAGCCCUGCAGGCAUUGGCCUAAUCAAACAAUGUGCACAAUAUUAAGGGGCCCAAAAUUUAAAAAGAAGUUGUGUAUGUCCAUUGACAUUGGGGAAUCAUUAGCAUUGCAUGCAUUACUUUGCUUACUGAGCUUUAGGCUCACAGUUGUCUUGUGUUGCAGGUAGAGAAAGAAAUAAGUGAAUGACAAAGGUAAACUGAACCAUGGUCCUGACCCUGAUUUUUACAUAUGAACAUAUCGACCUUUUGUGGGUUAUUUCAGUUUAUCAGUGUGUAUGUUUAUAAUAAA